CUACGGGGGGCUGCAGUGGGGAAUAUUGGACAAUGGGGGAAACCCUGAUCCAGCAAUGCCGCGUGUGUGAAGAAGGCCUGCGGGUUGUAAAGCACUUUCAAUAGGGAGGAAAAGCUUUGGGUUAAUACCCCGAAGUCUUGACGUUACCUUUAGAAGAAGCACCGGCUAACUCUGUGCCAGCAGCCGCGGUAAUACAGAGGGUGCGAGCGUUAAUCGGAAUUACUGGGCGUAAAGCGCGCGUAGGCGGUUUGAUAAGUCAGAUGUGAAAGCCCCGGGCUUAACCUGGGAACUGCAUUUGAUACUGUCAAACUAGAGUAUGGUAGAGGGUAGUAGAAUUCCUGGUGUAGCGGUGAAAUGCGUAGAUAUCAGGAGGAAUACCAGUGGCGAAGGCGGCUACCUGGACCAAUACUGACGCUGAGGUGCGAAAGCGUGGGGAGCAAACAGGAUUAGAUACCCCGGUAGUC
Molecule: ribosomal RNA, 464 nt
Filed under: uncultured bacterium
Lineage: Bacteria
Description: partial 16S ribosomal RNA
Rfam family: Bacterial small subunit ribosomal RNA
Source: RNAcentral